GCGUUGUCCGGAAUUAUUGGGCGUAAAGAGCUCGUAGGCGGCCAGUUACGUCCGCUGUGAAAUCCCGGGGCUCAACCCCGGGCGUGCAGUGGAUACGGGUUGGCUGGAGGCAGGCAGGGGAGAACGGAAUUCCUGGUGUAGCGGUGAAAUGCGCAGAUAUCAGGAGGAACACCGGUGGCGAAGGCGGUUCUCUGGGCCUGUUCUGACGCUGAGGAGCGAAAGCGUG
This 226-nucleotide ribosomal RNA is filed under the name uncultured bacterium. Its description in RNAcentral is "partial 16S ribosomal RNA". It matches the Rfam family "Bacterial small subunit ribosomal RNA", at positions 538 to 763 of the family's 1533-position model. The record is from RNAcentral.